This 258-nucleotide ribosomal RNA is filed under the name uncultured bacterium. RNAcentral's name for it is "partial 16S ribosomal RNA". It matches the Rfam family "Bacterial small subunit ribosomal RNA", at positions 524 to 776 of the family's 1533-position model. The record is from RNAcentral.
AACGGGGGGGGCAGGUGUUACUCUUAUGGACUGGGCGUAAAGGGCAAGUAGGCGGAUGGAAAAGUUCGGGUUUAAAGGCAGGGGCUUAACUCCUGUAAAGUUCUCGCAAUACUAUCCAUCUUGAGUUGUUUUUAAAGAGUAGCCGAACUUCCAGUGUAGGGGUUAAAUCCGGAAAUAUUUGGAAGGACGAUCAAAAGCGAAGGCAGCUACUACGUAACAUACUGACGCUGAGAGGCGAAAGCGUGGGGAGCGAACAGG